Molecule: long non-coding RNA, 476 nt
Organism: Rhineura floridana
Lineage: Eukaryota; Metazoa; Chordata; Lepidosauria; Squamata; Rhineuridae
Exons: 3
Source: RefSeq, a predicted model, not a curated record
GAAACAAAUACAAAUCCAUAAUGGAAAGAAUUGGAUUUGUGCCUUGUCUGAUUUCUGUACCCCCUCUGAGGGAAGUUUGGAGGUGCGACAAGGGACAGGGCCUUUCAAGUUGUGACUCCAUGCUUGUGGAAUACUCUUCCCAGUGAGGUCUGCCUGAUGCCAUCCUUAACAUCCUUUCGGUCCCAGGGAGGUAUGAGGGCAGAAAACAAGACAGAAGAAGAUAAAAGGGACACAAGAAGUCAGAAGGCGGAGUUAGUACAUUUGUGUCUGUAGAAGGUUGUGUAGCAAUUAGACAAGAUGUCAGAUAAGCAAGAAAUCAAGGUACAGCAUUGAGAGCUGAGUAUAUAUUUAAGAGACAGCUUGGUGUGAAUGACUCUUGAUUUGCAACAGUUUACCUUUUCAUAAUCAAAGUGCUGUUAAGAAUAUGAACUGUAGUAAUUAUUGUCCAAGUAUUUAUUAAAUGUACUUAAAAUAUU